This 240-nucleotide ribosomal RNA is filed under the name uncultured bacterium. RNAcentral describes it as "partial 16S ribosomal RNA". It matches the Rfam family "Bacterial small subunit ribosomal RNA", at positions 15 to 252 of the family's 1533-position model. The record is from RNAcentral.
GAUCCUGGCUCAGGACGAACGCUGGCGGCACGCUUAACACAUGCAAGUCGAACGAAGUUAUUUGAGCUUGCUUAGAUAACUUAGUGGCGGACGGGUGAGUAACACGUGAGCAAUCUGCCUUUCAGAGGGGGAUACCGAUUGGAAACGAUCGUUAAUACCGCAUAACAUAGUAAAUUCGCAUGUUUUUACUAUCAAAGAUUUAUCGCUGAAAGAUGAGCUCGCGUCUGAUUAGGUAGUUGG